GCCAGCGUGGCUCAGUGGUUGAGCAUCGACCUAUGAACCAGGAGGUCGGGGUUCGAUUCCCCAUGAGGGCA
This 71-nucleotide transfer RNA is filed under the name Myotis davidii. It matches the Rfam family "tRNA". Rfam says of the family: Transfer RNA (tRNA) molecules are approximately 80 nucleotides in length. Lineage: Eukaryota; Metazoa; Chordata; Mammalia; Chiroptera; Vespertilionidae. The record is from Rfam by way of RNAcentral.